Molecule: long non-coding RNA, 425 nt
Organism: Lycium ferocissimum
Lineage: Eukaryota; Viridiplantae; Streptophyta; Magnoliopsida; Solanales; Solanaceae
Exons: 3
Source: RefSeq, a predicted model, not a curated record
AAUGAGGUUUUGAGGUGAGUGUUUUACCUCUGUUAAGCUUUUUUAUUUUACUUUGAAUAUAUAAUAUCUGCAUGUGUAUGUACUUUUUGUGUUGUACACGGAUAAAUAUUGAUAGGAGAAGACUUAAGGUAAAGCAAUAUCUUUUGGUACAUUGAUACAGAUUUACAUUUUUUAAUGUAACCCGGAGACCAAAAGAGUUGGAAGGAAGAGCCGAUCCAAGAUCAAGAGACAUUCAGAAGCUCUUGCUUCAAUCGAAAAUUUGGAAGUAUAAGUUGGGAGCAACCAUGCCACUUUCUGUGUUCACAGACUACAUUUCUUGAAUAUAGCCACUAACGCAGCAACUUGAGGGGAGGUGAUAAGAAUAUAUGUUCAAGUUGCAAAGGCAGAAUGAUAAUCAGGCUGAAUUAGGCGAAAGGGCUGAUUUC